GGGGAUGUAGCUCAGCUGGGAGAGCACCUGCCUUGCAAGCAGGGGGUCAUCGGUUCAAUCCCGUUCAUCUCCACCA
Molecule: transfer RNA, 76 nt
Filed under: Desulfovibrio psychrotolerans
Lineage: Bacteria; Pseudomonadati; Thermodesulfobacteriota; Desulfovibrionia; Desulfovibrionales; Desulfovibrionaceae
Also listed under: 2 other names
Description: tRNA-Ala
Rfam family: tRNA
About the family: Transfer RNA (tRNA) molecules are approximately 80 nucleotides in length. Their secondary structure includes four short double-helical elements and three loops (D, anti-codon, and T loops). Further hydrogen bonds mediate the characteristic L-shaped molecular structure. tRNAs have two regions of fundamental functional importance: the anti-codon, which is responsible for specific mRNA codon recognition, and the 3' end, to which the tRNAs corresponding amino acid is attached (by aminoacyl-tRNA synthetases). tRNAs cope with the degeneracy of the genetic code in two manners: having more than one tRNA (with a specific anti-codon) for a particular amino acid; and 'wobble' base-pairing, i.e. permitting non-standard base-pairing at the 3rd anti-codon position.
Source: RNAcentral